GGGAAUGUGGCUUAGUGGUAGAGUGCUUGCCUAGCAUGCAUGAAGCCCGGAGUUCAAUUCCUCAGUACCA
Molecule: transfer RNA, 70 nt
Filed under: Dipodomys ordii (Ord's kangaroo rat)
Lineage: Eukaryota; Metazoa; Chordata; Mammalia; Rodentia; Heteromyidae
Rfam family: tRNA
About the family: Transfer RNA (tRNA) molecules are approximately 80 nucleotides in length. Their secondary structure includes four short double-helical elements and three loops (D, anti-codon, and T loops). Further hydrogen bonds mediate the characteristic L-shaped molecular structure. tRNAs have two regions of fundamental functional importance: the anti-codon, which is responsible for specific mRNA codon recognition, and the 3' end, to which the tRNAs corresponding amino acid is attached (by aminoacyl-tRNA synthetases). tRNAs cope with the degeneracy of the genetic code in two manners: having more than one tRNA (with a specific anti-codon) for a particular amino acid; and 'wobble' base-pairing, i.e. permitting non-standard base-pairing at the 3rd anti-codon position.
Source: Rfam by way of RNAcentral